RNAcentral lists this transfer RNA (73 nucleotides) under Myxococcales bacterium. Its description in RNAcentral is "tRNA-Arg". It matches the Rfam family "tRNA". Rfam says of the family: Transfer RNA (tRNA) molecules are approximately 80 nucleotides in length. Lineage: Bacteria; Pseudomonadati; Myxococcota; Myxococcia; Myxococcales. The record is from RNAcentral.
GCGGCGUUAGCUCAGCGGAGAGAGCACCCGACUACGAAUCGGGAGGUCCGAGGUUCGAAUCCUCGACGCCGCA